This 168-nucleotide small nuclear RNA is filed under the name Phaseolus vulgaris (common bean). Its description in RNAcentral is "snRNA U1". It matches the Rfam family "U1 spliceosomal RNA". Rfam says of the family: U1 is a small nuclear RNA (snRNA) component of the spliceosome (involved in pre-mRNA splicing). Its 5' end forms complementary base pairs with the 5' splice junction, thus defining the 5' donor site of an intron. There are significant differences in sequence and secondary structure between metazoan and yeast U1 snRNAs, the latter being much longer (568 nucleotides as compared to 164 nucleotides in human). Lineage: Eukaryota; Viridiplantae; Streptophyta; Magnoliopsida; Fabales; Fabaceae. The record is from RNAcentral.
CUACCUACCUGAAUGGGGUCAAUGGGUGAUCAUUGAGACCUCUAGCCUAAAACAGUGACCUGCAUUGUACUUAGAAGGAGUGUUGGAAUGUUGUUCAAAAGUCUGUAUAAGUGACAGAGCCUACAUCAUAAUUUAUGGUAAAGGAUACUGCGUUCGCACGAUUCUUAC